CCCUUAGAUGUCCUGGGCCGCACGCGCGCUACACUGAUGCAUUCAACGAGUUUUACCUUGGCCGAGAGGCCUGGGCAAUCUUUUGAACCUGCAUCGUGAUAGGGAUAGAUUAUUGCAAUUAUUAAUCUUGAACGAGGAAUUCCUAGUAAACGCAGAUCAUCAAUCUGCAUUGAUUACGUCCCUGCCCUUUGUACACACCGCCCGUCGCACCUACCGAUUGAAUGGUCCGGUGAAGCCUCGGGAUUGUGGCGAGUUCCCUUUAUUGGGAGUUUGUCGCGAGAACUUGUCUAAACCUUAUCAUUUAGAGGAAGGUGAAGUCGUANCA
RNAcentral lists this ribosomal RNA (325 nucleotides) under uncultured eukaryote. RNAcentral's name for it is "partial 18S ribosomal RNA". It matches the Rfam family "Eukaryotic small subunit ribosomal RNA", at positions 1470 to 1796 of the family's 1831-position model. The record is from RNAcentral.